CCUACGGGAGGCAGCAGUGGGGAAUUUUCCGCAAUGGGCGAAAGCCUGACGGAGCAAUACCGCGUGAGGGACGAAGGCCCUUGGGUCGUAAACCUCUUUUCUCAAGGAAGAUAAUGACGGUACUUGAGGAAUCAGCAUCGGCUAACUCCGUGCCAGCAGCCGCGGUAAUACGGAGGAUGCAAGCGUUAUCCGGAAUGAUUGGGCGUAAAGCGUCCGCAGGUGGUUUUGUAAGUCUGCUGUUAAAGCGUCAUGCUCAACAUGAUUAAAGCGGUGGAAACUACAAGACUAGAGUGCGUUAGGGGUGAAGGGAAUUCCUGGUGUAGCGGUGAAAUGCGUAGAGAUCAGGAAGAACACCGGUGGCGAAGGCGCUUCACUAUGCCGCAACUGACACUGAGGGACGAAAGCUAGGGGAGCGAAUGGGAUUAGAUACCCCAGUAGUCCUAGCCGUAAACGAUGGACACUAGGUGUUGCUUGUAUCGACCCGAGCAGUGCCGUAGCCAACGCGUUAAGUGUCCCGCCUGGGGAGUACGCACGCAAGUGUGAAACUUAAAGGAAUUGACGGNNGAGAGNGCGAGCGACGACGAGGAGAG
This 590-nucleotide ribosomal RNA is filed under the name uncultured bacterium. Its description in RNAcentral is "bacterial SSU rRNA". It matches the Rfam family "Bacterial small subunit ribosomal RNA", at positions 338 to 944 of the family's 1533-position model. The record is from RNAcentral.